RNAcentral lists this non-coding RNA (186 nucleotides) under Gammaproteobacteria bacterium. Its description in RNAcentral is "6S RNA". It matches the Rfam family "6S / SsrS RNA". From Rfam's summary of the family: E. coli 6S RNA was the first non coding RNA to be sequenced, but its function was unknown until recently. It consists of 184 nucleotides that fold into an extended hairpin structure with a large single-stranded internal bulge. RNAcentral also lists the same sequence under 2 other names. The record is from RNAcentral. Lineage: Bacteria; Pseudomonadati; Pseudomonadota; Gammaproteobacteria.
CGCACCCUGCGGGGUUCGACACGGACCGGGAUACCUCUCGACCCUAAUUACUUAAUCCUGGGACCAGGUACUGUCGGUGUUUUUGAGCAUGGCCGCCUAUUGCGGAAAGCCUGUGACACCACGGCCAGUCCCACUUUUUGCUCUGGUUCGAGAGCAAUGGUUUGUGACGGCUCAGGCGGGGUGCGU